Molecule: long non-coding RNA, 425 nt
Organism: Daphnia pulicaria
Lineage: Eukaryota; Metazoa; Arthropoda; Branchiopoda; Diplostraca; Daphniidae
Exons: 4
Source: RefSeq, a predicted model, not a curated record
CCGUCAUACUCCAUGCUGUUUAUCGGAUUUGAGCCCAGAGCCAGCCAUCAUAACCACAAACAAUGUGCAAUUUUUCUUGUGCAGGUGUUGGUAACCUGUCACCAGCAACAAUCUCAGGAUCAUCGUUUUGGAUAAAAAGCAUCCCAUUGCAUUGGAAUGCAAUCACGUGCAUUGUCCAUUGAGCUAUGGAUCUCUCUGUUUCCCCUUUCUUCAAAUGCCCUUGUGUAUGCCCAUGUGAAUGUGGGUGUAUUCACGAGGACACCCUUUUUACCCUAUCCCGUCUGGUGUCAUUUAACUCUUCAGCGGAUGGAUGGAGCAACUGUAGAGAUGCCUGGCUGUAUUUCCCAGGCACAAAGGUAGGACAAAAUCGAUCUCUAUUCUUCCUUUUUAGCAAUUUUUGGAGGCGUUGGUUAUAAAUUGUUACG